This 373-nucleotide ribosomal RNA is filed under the name uncultured organism. RNAcentral's name for it is "bacterial SSU rRNA". It matches the Rfam family "Bacterial small subunit ribosomal RNA", at positions 526 to 896 of the family's 1533-position model. The record is from RNAcentral.
CGUAGGGUGCGAGCGUUAAUCGGAAUUACUGGGCGUAAAGUGUGCGCAGGUGGCCGCGCAAGUCGAGUGUGAAAUCCCCGAGCUUAACUUGGGAAUUGCGCUCGAAACUACGUGGCUCGAGUGUGGCAGAGGAAGGUGGAAUUCCACGUGUAGCGGUGAAAUGCGUAGAGAUGUGGAGGAACACCGAUGGCGAAGGCAGCCUUCUGGGCCAACACUGACGCUCAUGCACGAAAGCGUGGGGAGCAAACAGGAUUAGAUACCCUGGUAGUCCACGCCCUAAACGAUGAUGACUAGGUUGUUGGGGGAGUUAAAUCCCUUAGUAACGCAGCUAACGCGUGAAGUCAUCCGCCUGGGGAGUACGGUCGCAAGAUUA